UCCCUACGGGGCGCAGCAGUGGGGAAUAUUGCACAAUGGGGGAAACCCUGAUGCAGCGACGCCGCGUGAGCGAUGAAGUAUUUCGGUAUGUAAAGCUCUAUCAGCAGGGAAGAAAAUGACGGUACCUGACUAAGAAGCCCUGGCUAACUACGUGCCAGCAGCCGCGGUAAUACGUAGGGGGCAAGCGUUAUCCGGAUUUACUGGGUGUAAAGGGAGCGUAGACGGCGCGUUAAGCCUGGUGUGAAAGCCCGCGGCCCAACCGCGGGACUGCAUUGGGAACUGGCGCGCUGGAGUGCCGGAGGGGG
This 305-nucleotide ribosomal RNA is filed under the name uncultured bacterium. Its description in RNAcentral is "bacterial SSU rRNA". It matches the Rfam family "Bacterial small subunit ribosomal RNA", at positions 335 to 658 of the family's 1533-position model. The record is from RNAcentral.